This is a long non-coding RNA of Exaiptasia diaphana, 384 nucleotides long. RefSeq lists it as uncharacterized. NCBI's taxonomy places the organism in Eukaryota, Metazoa, Cnidaria, Anthozoa, Actiniaria, Aiptasiidae. The record is from RefSeq and is a predicted model, not a curated record. The transcript is spliced from 2 exons.
GAUCCUUCUUCACUAKAUUGUCACGCAUUCCUUGUCAUGAAAAAUAACCAGACAGUUUUGCGAGUUUGGCGCUGUGCUGUUUGCAAAUCCGAGUCAUUUAGAAUCGAGGUUUUGUAUUUUGYAUUAGCUUGAAUGAAAAACGCAUUUUAUUAUCCAGCUUUUAUCAUUAGCAUUUCUAGCURUCGGAAAUAGUUGAGUUUUGACGUCAACUUCGCUAAACACGUAACUUGUUACYCUUGUUGUGGGCGACCACGUAAACGAGCUUACUCAUCGAUUUAAAAAGAUGUGUGGACGAACGGCAUGCAACCUCGACCCAGACGGUGUUGCAAAGUGUUGCCGAUUUAGAAGCAGUAAAAAUGGCAAMAUGCAAACUCCGAGAUGGAA